UGAACUUAAGCAUAUCAAUAAGCGGAGGAAAAG
Molecule: ribosomal RNA, 33 nt
Filed under: Phaeophyscia limbata
Lineage: Eukaryota; Fungi; Ascomycota; Lecanoromycetes; Caliciales; Physciaceae
Description: partial 26S ribosomal RNA
Source: RNAcentral